AAUCCAUAGGUUAAUGAGGCGAACCGGGGGAACUGAAACAUCUAAGUACCCCGAGGAAAAGAAAUCAACCGAGAUUCCCCCAGUAGCGGCGAGCGAACGGGGAGGAGCCCAGAGCCUGAAUCAGCAUGUGUGUUAGUGGAAGCGUCUGGAAAGGCGCGCGAUACAGGGUGACAGCCCCGUACACAAAAGCGCAUGUGCUGUGAGCUCGAUGAGUAGGGCGGGACACGUGGUAUCCUGUCUGAAUAUGGGGGGACCAUCCUCCAAGGCUAAAUACUCCUGACUGACCGAUAGUGAACCAGUACCGUGAGGGAAAGGCGAAAAGAACCCCGGCGAGGGGAGUGAAAAAGAACCUGAAACCGUGUACGUACAAGCAGUGGGAGCACCCUUUGGGUGUGACUGCGUACCUUUUGUAUAAUGGGUCAGCGACUUAUAUUCUGUAGCAAGGUUAACCGAAUAGGGGAGCCGGAGGGAAACCGAGUCUUAAUUGGGCGUUAAGUUGCAGGGUAUAGACCCGAAACCCGGUGAUCUAGCCAUGGGCAGGUUGAAGGUUGGGUAACACUAACUGGAGGACCGAACCGACUAAUGUUGAAAAAUUAGCGGAUGACCUGUGGCUGGGGGUGAAAGGCCAAUCAAACCGGGAGAUAGCUGGUUCUCCCCGAAAGCUAUUUAGGUAGCGCCUCGUGAAUUCAUCUCCGGGGGUAGAGCACUGUUUCGGCUAGGGGGCCAUCCCGGCUUACCAACCCGAUGCAAACUGCGAAUACCGGAGAAUGUUAUCACGGGAGACACACGGCGGGUGCUAACGUCCGUCGUGAAGAGGGAAACAACCCAGACCGCCAGCUAAGGUCCCAAAGUCAUGGUUAAGUGGGAAACGAUGUGGGAAGGCCCAGACAGCCAGGAUGUUGGCUUAGAAGCAGCCAUCAUUUAAAGAAAGCGUAAUAGCUCACUGGUCGAGUCGGCCUGCGCGGAAGAUGUAACGGGGCUAAACCAUGCACCGAAGCUGCGGCAGCGACACUGUGUGUUGUUGGGUAGGGGAGCGUUCUGUAAGCCUGUGAAGGUGUGUCGUGAGGCAUGCU
RNAcentral lists this ribosomal RNA (1073 nucleotides) under Salmonella enterica subsp. enterica serovar Enteritidis. RNAcentral describes it as "partial 23S ribosomal RNA". It matches the Rfam family "Bacterial large subunit ribosomal RNA", at positions 161 to 1274 of the family's 2925-position model. Lineage: Bacteria; Pseudomonadati; Pseudomonadota; Gammaproteobacteria; Enterobacterales; Enterobacteriaceae. The record is from RNAcentral.